UGGUCCUGGACUAUGCUUUGUCUGCCUGCUGCGCAUAGCUCUAACAGCAGAAUCUGAGGGGACAUAUAAGCAAUCUCCCUCUCCAUGUAAGAGGGCCAUGCUGAGCACAGGGCUGGCUCUUAAAGGCACGAGAGACACU
Sorex araneus (European shrew) is the source of this 139-nucleotide small nucleolar RNA. Lineage: Eukaryota; Metazoa; Chordata; Mammalia; Eulipotyphla; Soricidae. The record is from Ensembl.